Molecule: non-coding RNA, 393 nt
Organism: Picea glauca (white spruce)
Lineage: Eukaryota; Viridiplantae; Streptophyta; Pinopsida; Pinales; Pinaceae
Source: Rfam
AGGGUUUAAUGUGUUAAUAAUCACCUAACCUAGACCUUGAAUCUACACGCGCUAACCUUCUAAAUCAUUGACCCAUAACCAAUAACCCUUCUAAAGACACAAUGUGAUUUAUUCCCAUUUCUUUGCAUGUCAAAGUGAAUAAAUUCAACCAAGCGCGGGUAAACGACGGGAGUAACUAUGACUAUCUUAAGGUAGCUAGAUGCCUCGUCAUCUAAUUAUUGACACGCAUGAAUGGAUCAUUAACAAUAUUCCUCACUGUCCCUAGAUACUAUAUUCUAGAGAAACCACAUCCAAGGGAAUGGGCUUGGCAGAAUUAGUGGGGAAAGAAGACGCUCAUGUUGAGCUUGACUCUAGUCCUAACCCAUUCAUGGUUUGGGAAAAUUAGGGCAUAGU